GGGUAUCAGUGGUGCUAGAAUACACUGAGAAGGGAAAUAGCUGAGCUUGACAAGAGGCCUUGCUUUUCAGAUGGCAGAACAUGCUGAGCUGUGGGUAGAAAGGCCUGUCUGCUGAAUAUUGUCCCUGUUUUUGCUGCUUUGUCUACCAGUAUUUUGUGGAUUUGGUUCUACGCUUGGUUGGCCUAUGUGGCACUGUAGACUGAUUCUAUACCAUGAUACCAUACAGAAUUUAAGGAGAAGUAUUUUCUUGCCAAUGGGCUGCAGUUUUUGUAUCUGGUUCUUCAACUGACUGCUCCCUAUACUAUCUGUAGUAAAAAUAUAGACACCUCAUUUGAUUUACCAGAAAUGAAUUUUCCUAAAUGUCAGCUCUUCUCAUGUCUACGAAGAGCAAAGUUCUGCAUUUGCUAUUAGAAUUUCCUCUUCCAGAAUCAGGAGGUAAUGUAGGACCCCACAGAUUGCCUUCAGAAUUCAACACUUAGUUCUGUUUCCUUUCGGAGUGCAUAACAACCUGAGCACAUGAAUUGAAUGACGUGGCUUUUUAGUCUGGUACAAACUCUGCUGUACACUGAAACUUGGUCCAUUUGUAAGCAGGACUUUGUCCAUCUCUGCAGGACAGCAGAAAACCCUUUGUGCUAAUCAUGAUGCCAAGAAGCAGAAUGCAGCAAAUGGCAGAUGAUCCAACUGCUUCAGCUGGGACACCUUGAUGAAGACUGUGUAACAGAGCUUUCUGUGUUUCACAACAAGAGAAAAGAGAGUAGAUCAGCAUUAACGUCAGAGCCUUUUUGUUAUUUUUUUACCAUGCUGAAAUCCUUAUGAAUCUCUGGAAGUCCAGGCAGA
Non-coding RNA from Coturnix japonica (Japanese quail), 837 nucleotides. Lineage: Eukaryota; Metazoa; Chordata; Aves; Galliformes; Phasianidae. The record is from RefSeq and is a predicted model, not a curated record.